AGAGUUUGAUCCUGGCUCAGGACGAACGCUGGCGGCGUGCUUAACACAUGCAAGUGGAGCGACGAACCGGGGCUUGCCCCGGGGCAGAGCCGCGAACGGGUGAGUAACACGUGGGUUACCUGCCUCAAUGACCGGGACAACCCGAGGAAACUCGGGCUAAUACCGGAUGUGCCCGCAAGGGGAAAGGAAGCUUCGGCCUCCGCAUUGAGAUGGGCCCGCGGCCCAUUAGCUUGUUGGUGAGGUAACGGCUCACCAAGGCUUCGAUGGGUAGCUGGUCUGAGAGGACAAUCAGCCACACUGGGACUGAGACACGGCCCAGACUCCUACGGGAGGCAGCAGUGGGGAAUCUUGCGCAAUGCGCGAAAGCGUGACGCAGCAACGCCGCGUGGGGGAAGAAGGCUUUCGGGUUGUAAACCCCUUUCAGUUGG
RNAcentral lists this ribosomal RNA (428 nucleotides) under uncultured bacterium. RNAcentral's name for it is "bacterial SSU rRNA". It matches the Rfam family "Bacterial small subunit ribosomal RNA", at positions 8 to 443 of the family's 1533-position model. The record is from RNAcentral.